GGGAUUACAGGUGUGAGCCACCAUGCCCAGCCUCUACGGCCUUCUUGAAGUGUUAUGUGCUUAAGCUUGGGAGUCAGCCAGAUGUGUUUUCUAAUCUCAGCUCUUUCAUUUGCCACCUGGGGGGCCUUCAGGAAAACAAAUCUGCACAUUUUCCCAGAUUAAUACUCCUAAAGCACAGUUCUGAUGACAUUACAUCCCUUUUUUUCAGGCCUUCAGUGGCUUCUAGUACCAACCAAAUGCUUUACACACCCCUUGCCUUGGCGUUCAAAGCCUCCUAAUCUUUCAUGACCCCCCUGCGCAGGCCCUAAGUUUCUAGCGCGUUCAUCUCAUGAUAACAUGGACUUGCCUUGCUCUUCCCUGCUUCCCUGCCUUGCUCACGCUCUUCCCCUGGCUAGAAUCCCUUUUCUUCCUCAUCAACACGUGUUUACAUCCUUCUCAUCCUUAAGGCUCAGCUCAAUGCCACUUCCUCCAUGAUGCCUUUCUUCAUCUUUUUAUCCAGGCAGAAUCUCUACUUCCACAACUCCCUCAGUGCACCACAUCUCCUGCACAAUCUGCCAGGUGUGGCUCUGCAGCGCAAGCCUCUCCACUGGCCUCCUCCUCCCUUGGUGAC
Molecule: long non-coding RNA, 610 nt
Filed under: Homo sapiens (human)
Lineage: Eukaryota; Metazoa; Chordata; Mammalia; Primates; Hominidae
Description: HSALNT0152791
Source: RNAcentral